RNAcentral lists this ribosomal RNA (443 nucleotides) under uncultured bacterium. RNAcentral describes it as "partial 16S ribosomal RNA". It matches the Rfam family "Bacterial small subunit ribosomal RNA", at positions 338 to 795 of the family's 1533-position model. The record is from RNAcentral.
CCUACGGGAGGCUGCAGUGGGGAAUAUUGGACAAUGGGGGGAACCCUGAUCCAGCGACGCCGCGUGAGUGAAGAAGUAUUUCGGUAUGUAAAGCUCUAUCAGCAGGGAAGAAAGAAAUGACGGUACCUGACUAAGAAGCCCCGGCUAACUACGUGCCAGCAGCCGCGGUAAUACGUAGGGGGCAAGCGUUAUCCGGAUUCACUGGGUGUAAAGGGAGCGUAGACGGCGAGACAAGUCUGGAGUGAAAGGCCGGGGCCCAACCCCGGGACUGCUCUGGAAACUGCCUGGCUGGAGUACAGGAGAGGUAAGUGGAAUUCCUAGUGUAGCGGUGAAAUGCGUAGAUAUUAGGAGGAACACCAGUGGCGAAGGCGGCUUACUGGACUGUAACUGACGUUGAGGCUCGAAAGCGUGGGGAGCAAACAGGAUUAGAGACCCCAGUAGUC